UGGCUAUAAAAUAACUUAUUUUGUAGCCACUUUGAGUUACGAUAAUUACUAUAUUAAUUUAUAAGAUUAUAGUAACUCCUUACUAAAUGGUAUCCUAAAUAUGUAUACAUAUUAUCAUAAAUUAGUAUAUAAAAUUAUUGUAAAUAGAGAUGACUAUAAAAUAACAUAUUUUGUAGUUA
RNAcentral lists this microRNA precursor (179 nucleotides) under Sorghum bicolor (sorghum). Its description in RNAcentral is "MIR6217 microRNA precursor family". It matches the Rfam family "MIR6217 microRNA precursor family". Lineage: Eukaryota; Viridiplantae; Streptophyta; Magnoliopsida; Poales; Poaceae. The record is from Rfam by way of RNAcentral.